AUGCUCAUGACAGCCCAUGGGCUCCAACUACCUUCGCUGCCUCCCAAUGUUCGAGUCGUCACGGGGAGGAGCUGCAGUUGUGCCUCCCCAUUCGCCUGUUCUAGUCACUGUGAACUGCAGGUUGCUCCGCCCAGUCCUGUUCCAUGUCUGCAAUGUAUAUGCUGCAGCUUGCACAAUUUGCUGCAAUGCGGUGUUUUUCUAUUUCAGGUAGCUAAGUCUGUUACCAAAAACUUGAGCAUGAUGACCAUGAUGUUGACAUGUCCAGAAAGGAUCAGUUUUUACCAAAAACUUGAGCAUGAACAUCUACACAUUUUACCAAAAAAUUGA
Molecule: ribosomal RNA, 327 nt
Filed under: Triticum aestivum (bread wheat)
Lineage: Eukaryota; Viridiplantae; Streptophyta; Magnoliopsida; Poales; Poaceae
Description: partial small subunit ribosomal RNA
Source: RNAcentral